GAGUCAUUGAGUGAGCAAACUCAUUGGCGUAAUGAAAGUAAAGUUACCUUCUGGUAAUGAUAUGUGAUGCCUCGUAAAAAAGGCAGCAGCAUAGUCCAAUCUAUUAAGCUUGCUUAAGGGUUGAGAUAGAGCAUAUGCGAUGAGACCCGAAAGAUGGUGAACUAUACCUGAACAGGAUGAAGUCAGAGGAAACUCUGAUGGAAGUCCGAAGCGGUUCUGACGUGCAAAUCGAUCGUCUGAUUUGGGUAUAGGGGCGAAAGACUAAUCGAACCAUC
This 275-nucleotide ribosomal RNA is filed under the name Panagrolaimus davidi. RNAcentral describes it as "partial 28S ribosomal RNA". It matches the Rfam family "Eukaryotic large subunit ribosomal RNA", at positions 688 to 944 of the family's 3401-position model. Lineage: Eukaryota; Metazoa; Nematoda; Chromadorea; Rhabditida; Panagrolaimidae. The record is from RNAcentral.